AGUUUAGCUAAUGUUGCCCGUACCGUAAACCGACACAGGUGGGUGGGAUGAGUAUUCUAAGGCGCGUGGAAGAACUCUCUUUAAGGAACUCUGCAAAAUAGCACCGUAUCUUCGGUAUAAGGUGUGGUUCGCUUCGUAUUAGGAUUUACUCCGAAAGCGAAGAAACUUACAACAAAGAGUCCCUCCCGACUGUUUACCAAAAACACAGCACUCUGCUAACUCGUAAGAGGAUGUAUAGGGUGUGACGCCUGCCCGGUGCUCGAAGGUUAAUUGAUGGGGUUAGCAUUAGCGAAGCUCUUGAUCGAAGCCCGAGUAAACGGCGGCCGUAACUAUAACGGUCCUAAGGUAGCGAAAUUCCUUGUCGGUUAAAUACCGACCUGCAUGAAUGGCGUAACGAGAUGGGAGCUGUCUCAAAGAGGGAUCCAGUGAAAUUGUAGUGGAGGUGAAAAUUCCUCCUACCCGCGGCAAGACGGAGAGACCCCGUGGACCUUUACUACAGCUUGACACUGCUAUUUGGAUAAGAAUGUGCAGGAUAGGUGGGAGGCUUUGAGUAUAUGACGCCAGUUGUAUAUGAGCCAUUGUUGAGAUACCACUCUUUCUUAUUUGGGUAGCUAACCAGCUUGAGUUAUCCUCAAGUGGGACAAUGUCUGGUGGGUAGUUUGACUGGGGCGGUCGCCUCCCAAAUAAUAACGGAGGCUUACAAAGGUUGGCUCAGAACGGUUGGAAAUCGUUCGUAGAGUAUAAAGGUAUAAGCCAGCUUAACUGCAAGACAUACAAGUCAAGCAGAGACGAAAGUCGGUCUUAGUGAUCCGGUGGUUCUGUGUGGAAGGGCCAUCGCUCAAAGGAUAAAAGGUACCCCGGGGAUAACAGGCUGAUCUCCCCCAAGAGCUCACAUCGACGGGGAGGUUUGGCACCUCGAUGUCGGCUCAUCGCAUCCUGGGGCUGGAGCAGGUCCCAAGGGUAUGGCUGUUCGCCAUUUAAAGCGGUACGCGAGCUGGGUUCAGAACGUCGUGAGACAGUUCGGUCCCUAUCUGCCGUGGGCGUAAGAAGAUUGAAGAGAUUUGACCCUAGUACGAGAGGACCGGGUUGAACAAACCACUGGUGUAGCUGUUGUUCUGCCAAGAGCAUCGCAGCGUAGCUAAGUUUGGAAAGGAUAAACGCUGAAAGCAUCUAAGCGUGAAGCCAACUCUAAGAUGAAUCUUCUCUAAGCUCUCUAGAAGACUACUAGUUUGAUAGGCUGGGUGUGUAAUGGAUGAAAGUCCUUUAGCUGACCAGUACUAAUAGAGCGUUUGGCUUAUCUUU
RNAcentral lists this ribosomal RNA (1302 nucleotides) under Campylobacter coli. RNAcentral describes it as "partial 23S ribosomal RNA". It matches the Rfam family "Bacterial large subunit ribosomal RNA", at positions 1625 to 2925 of the family's 2925-position model. The record is from RNAcentral. Lineage: Bacteria; Pseudomonadati; Campylobacterota; Epsilonproteobacteria; Campylobacterales; Campylobacteraceae.